AAUGAGUUGGAACUCAAACCCAGAGCCUUGUGCAUGUAUCUUGUGUACUACAGAGUUACAACUCCAGCUAUAGUUUUUUUUUUUUUUUUUUUUUUUUGUAUGUUGAUGCUCUCCCCAACAAUGUGCCAUGGAAGACAAACUGUAAAAGCAAAAUAUAGUGAUUCCAAUUUCUACUUCUUGAACAGUAUAUAAGGAAUAAGACACAUAACACAAUUGCUCCAAAUCCUAUAAAGAACUGACUUUAGAAACCUCAAACUAAGUUUCUGUUGGAGUGACUAUUUCUGCCCUUUUUUCUUAUUUAUUUUUGCACCUGUAUAUUACAGUGAGGGCUUUACACUUGCUAAAAACACACUCCCUCUUUGGUUUACAAGGCCCUUACUAGUCUGCUUGCAAAGCAUAAAAGUGAGGAGACAGUAGCAGCAUUAAACACAGAAAAAGAGGUAUAAUUAAAUUCUCUGCGAUGAACCACGGGGCAUGGUUGAGAAUGACACCUAAAAUUUCUCUUACUUUUAGUAUUAAAACAAACAUACAAACAGAAAACAAACCAAAUGGAAUAACACAACUUUCCUUCUUUUUUUUUUUUUUUUGCACUCAGUAUUCAAUAGCUAUAUUUUAGUACCAAGAAUCUUAAAGUACAAAAUGAACAAAAAAAAAAAGUCAUUAACUUCAUUAUGGCUUUCCAGUUCAGUAUAAUUUAGUAGGACAGUAAUAAUCACUACCUACAGAAAAACAAAAACAAAACCCAAUGACAAAAUGGUUGUGGAUUUAAUUAGAAACAAACCAAACCUGGUUGAUUUUAUUUACUAAAGCACUCUACAAAGCAUGGCUCUCAUUUACUUUCAAAGAUACGUGUAGACUUAAGUAAACAGAGCCAAGCUAUUGCUUCAUGUUUGAGGAUUCCUGAAUGAUUACCUACAGAAUACGUUACUACCAAAGAAGAGAAAACAAAGUGAAAACUGGAAAAUAGGACUUCUUUUUGUCAUUAAGUUCUAAGCCACAGAGCCUUUGAUAUUCAUGGAUUCAAUUUAUGAACAAUGGGAAAGGUAGGAUAUGAUAAAAACUAUAGUUUAUUUUAAAGGUAGCCAGUUCUUUAAAACAAACCCUGUCCACUUUUCUCCACCUCUGAAUGAACAGAUCAUUUUAUUGUACAAACUCACCCCAUUUCCCAACUGGACACUUCGUAAAAGGAGGAAACAAAAAGCUGGUUACCACAGAGAUCAUAAAUUGUUUGUAAAUGGAAAGAAAGUAUAGAGUAUAAAGAGAUACCAUUGGAGUUAAUACUGAUGCAAUCUAAAUUUUAAUUCAUCAAAGUAUUUAGUAAUGGUCUUAAGAAUAGGAACUCCAGGCAAGUAACUUCCAGAGGCUGUAAGCACUUGUUUAGAAUGCGUGAUAACCCUUGUAAAAAAGACUUACUGGCUGUUUUCAGUGAUUUUACAGUCAAGUAUUGUUUAUAUAUUUUAAUGGACCCAAUUAUAUCAUAAGUAGCAACUGUUCACAUCAGGCAAUGGAGUAUUUCUUUCAGUAAAGAAAAAUCUAAAAAAAUAUAAUUUUUUCUAUUUCAGUCAAUCCCCAAUUUGGGAAUGAAGAGUGAAAUAACAUGCCUCCUUUAAAAAAAAAUACUAUAUAUAUAUAUUUUUUUUUUUUCUCCAUUACAUUGCUGGAAAGGGAAAAAAAGACAACCAAAUUAAUUUGUAACUUUCAUCUAUUUCUAAGAAUAUUCCCUUUAUAAAAAAUUUUUGGUCUUAAAUACUAUGACUAGUUUAGACUUCCAGAUAAAUAAAAUAAAGGUAUAUUAACAAUCAAAUGAUUAACCAUAUUUAUCUGCUCACAUUUAUGGAUUCUCUAUCAGAGUGCAUGUAAUACUGUUAACAUUUAGUCCAAGUUAACAUGUCAUGUUACCUCACUGUUUACAACACUGAUCAGAUCAGGGACAAUCCUGACUUAGGGAAGGGAGUAAUAUAUCACACUGUUAGCACAGGUAGCAGGACACUAACUGUAACUACAGUUUUAAAUCUCUACUCAUCACCUAUCUGCCACCCCUCUUCCUAUCAGCUAUGGAAUUUUCAAAGCCUAAUCAUGUAAGCAGCACAGUGCCACACUAUUUAUAUUGAAAUAAUGGGUCUCAAAUACCAAAUAAAAAAGAAAACGUUGAAGAAGGAUUUAACUUUCUGAAUAGUACAAAUUCACUAUUUUCAAUUUCUUCAUCUUUAUUUCUUCUGGUCAUAGAUAAAUGAUUUCUUGUUCCUUCUUUCAUCCACAGGGCUUAAUAAGUAUUAGAAAAUGGUAUUCCAGUUCAAAGGUGCUGUGAUCAUAACCGCAGGGAGCAACAGACAAAUGUGUACUAUGCUUCAAAAUGGUUUGUAAUUCUCCACUCUAGUAAGUUCCCUACUGAUGGUUCCCUUACAUUAAGGCAAAAAGAAAUCCACAGUAUUAUGAGCUGAGCUUCUGAAUUAAGUACACUUUCCAAAAUAAAGUAGUGCUGGAGUAUCUCGGUAACAAUGCUACUCAUUAGUGUCAUGACUGAAGUAGUAUCUCACUGGAGGGCCGGGCAAAUCUUCAUCUCCAUCAGCGUCUGGGGCAAAUGACACAGUAAGAUCCACAUAUUUCUUCUCAGUGGAAGGCUUCACAAGUUUGUGCAUUCUAAGAAUAAGCAAAGAUAAGUACUUUGGUGACUUGAUUAAAUGAAAGAACUUUUUGUUACUUUGUACUAGUCAGAGAUUGAACUUGCAUAUAUACUUUAAAAUAUGAAUAAUUUGCCUAUUCUUAUACAUUAAUUUUUCCUUACUAAAAGCUCCAAAUUGAAAGCAUGUAUCUAAUAGGACGUCCUCUGGUCAUG
RNAcentral lists this long non-coding RNA (2836 nucleotides) under Mus musculus (house mouse). RNAcentral describes it as "long non-coding RNA chr5:86110148-86112984". The record is from RNAcentral. Lineage: Eukaryota; Metazoa; Chordata; Mammalia; Rodentia; Muridae.